RNAcentral lists this ribosomal RNA (752 nucleotides) under Psychrobacter sp. TB20. Its description in RNAcentral is "bacterial SSU rRNA". It matches the Rfam family "Bacterial small subunit ribosomal RNA", at positions 33 to 778 of the family's 1533-position model. The record is from RNAcentral. Lineage: Bacteria; Pseudomonadati; Pseudomonadota; Gammaproteobacteria; Moraxellales; Moraxellaceae.
AAACUGGCGGCAGGCUUAACACAUGCAAGUCGAGCGGAAACGAUGAUAGCUUGCUAUCAGGCGUCGAGCGGCGGACGGGUGAGUAAUACUUAGGAAUCUACCUAGUAGUGGGGGAUAGCACGGGGAAACUCGUAUUAAUACCGCAUACGACCUACGGGAGAAAGGGGGCAGUUUACUGCUCUCGCUAUUAGAUGAGCCUAAGUCGGAUUAGCUAGAUGGUGGGGUAAAGGCCUACCAUGGCGACGAUCUGUAGCUGGUCUGAGAGGAUGAUCAGCCACACCGGGACUGAGACACGGCCCGGACUCCUACGGGAGGCAGCAGUGGGGAAUAUUGGACAAUGGGGGAAACCCUGAUCCAGCCAUGCCGCGUGUGUGAAGAAGGCCUUUUGGUUGUAAAGCACUUUAAGCAGUGAAGAAGACUCCGUGGUUAAUACCCACGGACGAUGACAUUAGCUGCAGAAUAAGCACCGGCUAACUCUGUGCCAGCAGCCGCGGUAAUACAGAGGGUGCAAGCGUUAAUCGGAAUUACUGGGCGUAAAGGGAGCGUAGGUGGCUCUAUAAGUCAGAUGUGAAAUCCCCGGGCUCAACCUGGGAACUGCAUCUGAAACUGUAGAGCUAGAGUAUGUGAGAGGAAGGUAGAAUUCCAGGUGUAGCGGUGAAAUGCGUAGAGAUCUGGAGGAAUACCGAUGGCGAAGGCAGCCUUCUGGCAUAAUACUGACACUGAGGCUCGAAAGCGUGGGUAGCAAACAGGAU